This 490-nucleotide ribosomal RNA is filed under the name uncultured bacterium. RNAcentral describes it as "partial 16S ribosomal RNA". It matches the Rfam family "Bacterial small subunit ribosomal RNA", at positions 28 to 507 of the family's 1533-position model. The record is from RNAcentral.
GAUGAACGCUAGCGGCAGGCUUAAUACAUGCAAGUCGAGGGGCAGCACGGUUCGCAGCAAUGCGGGAUGGUGGCGACCGGCAAACGGGUGAGGAUCGCGUACACAAUCUUCCCAGAGCAGGGGGAUAACCCGGGGAAACCCGGCCUAAUACCCCGUAGUUUACUUUGAAGGCAUCUUUGAGGUAAUAACACUCCGGUGGCUUUGGAUGAGUGUGCGUCCCAUUAGGUAGUUGGCAGGGUAACGGCCUACCAAGCCUUCGAUGGGUAACUGGUAUGAGAGCACGACCAGUCAAACGGGAAAUGAGACCCGGACCCGACUCCUACGGGAGGCAGCAGUAAGGAAUAUUGGUCAAUGGACGCAAGUCUGAACCAGCCAUGCCGCGUGAAGGAUGAAUGUCCUCUGGAUUGUAAACUUCUUUUAUAGAAGGCGAAAAAAGGGUUUUUUAGCUCACUUGACGGUACCUUAUGAAUAAGCACCGGCUAACUCCGUG